RNAcentral lists this non-coding RNA (237 nucleotides) under Lachnospiraceae bacterium. RNAcentral describes it as "T-box sequence". It matches the Rfam family "T-box leader". From Rfam's summary of the family: Uncharged tRNA acts as the effector for transcription antitermination of genes in the T-box leader family. T-boxes are found upstream of many aminoacyl-tRNA synthetase genes and some amino acid biosynthetic genes usually in Gram-positive bacteria. Lineage: Bacteria; Bacillati; Bacillota; Clostridia; Lachnospirales; Lachnospiraceae. The record is from RNAcentral.
GAAAAGGCUAUGAGCAGAAAGAGUACGCAGCCGGAAGAUAACAGAGAGGAAUUGCCGUUGGCUGAGAGCAGUUCCGAUGGGAAGGCAGCGGAAGUGCGUCUGUGAGCUGAUGCGGGGAAAGGAAGCAUAUUUUUUCCCGGUAUCCGCAUACGGGGAAGACACGUUACGUUUUAUGAGGGAAGGGUGAGAAUAUCAUCUUUAAUAAGAGUGGAACCGCGGAUCAGCUUCGUCUCUUGA